This 793-nucleotide long non-coding RNA is filed under the name Rattus norvegicus (Norway rat). RNAcentral describes it as "long non-coding RNA NONRATT008090". Lineage: Eukaryota; Metazoa; Chordata; Mammalia; Rodentia; Muridae. The record is from RNAcentral.
CGCCUCAGACACUCACAACUGAAUGUCCAGGAAGAUCCGCUUCUCCUCCCCAACGUGGAUUUUCCACACACAGUCUUCACCUUCUGCAUAGGGCUCUGGCCAGUUUGGAGACAGCACCACCCCAGCCACAGCAGAGAGCUCCCCACCACACAUGGCUGCAACAGACAGACAAGAGGACACCCUUGUGAGGAAGCCAACACAGCAUAAGUGGUGGCUCAGGAAGGCUCCUUUCCCACAGAGUGCCUCAAUAUACUGACCAGAAGCAGAGGGCCAUAAGAUCUUUAUCAACUUCCCCAGGGCUUCAGCCACACCCAGAUUACCCACUCCACCCUCUCUAUGCUGAGGAGGAGCAGUUGGUGCAGUCAGCUCACCUGUCUUUCUCAUGCAGCAGUAGCCUUUCAAGAUGCAAGUGAAGCUUCUGGCCCUCUGGAGCCUCGAUGGUCCACACACAGAGCUGGCUGCCAUUGGUGUUUCCCGGGUAACUGGGGGACAGAACUCGGCCGAUGGUGGCAUUGUGCACUGCUCCUCCACACGGGGCUGGGUGCAGAAAGUGACAUGCCAGGAGGUGAGGGAAGAACAGAGAGGAGUGGUGGGAUUGGUCUCCCCUGAUUGCACUCAAGCCCUCUAGCCAGGGUGGAGCUGGGAACACAUGAAGGGGUCACUGUCCUGUUAACCCCCUCCAUGCCUCUAUCUGCCAAUGCCACUCUGCUGUUGCAGGGGGGAACCUCAAUUUAAGACUGUUCUGUGGUGCUGAUUGUGCCUAGACAUUCAUUAAAAAAAUUCACAUUUAUUC